GCGUUUAUUUAUUUCUAAGUCUGAUUUAGUUCUCAUAAUCUAAUCUGAACUAGAACUAAUGCUCUACUUAAUUAUUAUCAAUGGCCAAUACAAAGUCUAGCACGAGAGUAAAGCACUAGCAUCCUACUUUUGCAGAUUCUAAAAAUAAACUUUGCAAACAUAGUUACAAGCUCCUUCACGUACUUUAAUAUUAGAAAGAAAAAACAAAAAUCACAAAAACGCAUUCAUCACAGUAGUGAUUUGGUAUCACUUACUGGUAUUCACAUAUCCUCCAUUUUGAGAUGCUCACAAAUUACUACAUCAAUGAAGCAUGAAAAUUAGACUCCUUCAAUCCAACACCAUUGGUAAAAGUUAACAAAUCUGUCAUGCUAAUCCAACUCUAAAGCAAAGUGUAAGUGAAAUCUUCAAAAAUCCAAUACAAAGCAUAGUAUUUCAUGUACCCAGUGACAAUUAAUAAAAUCAUUUCCAAGAACAUUGAACAAUUUCAAACAAUUCCUAACUAAAUCACAGACGGUAGAGACAUCCUUUCAGUAAACCAACUUUUGUUCAUACCGUGAAUUGGCUAUUUGAAGCAAACAAUCACCCAUACUUACUCAUUUAUUGAACAAUAACAAUCCAACAAACAAAGAUAAUAAAAUUACUCUCUAUCAAACCAACACGAAGAUGCAGAUUGACAAUAACCAGAAUUAGCUGAGAAAAUCAACACUGAUACAAUGGUAUUAUAUCGAACAGACUAAUGGACUUAAACACUCACCAUAUCUACCAUUUCCAUCGGCUUGCCGGGAAAACAGAACAAUCCACGUGAAAUCAUUCCCUUAGAUAAUUCAUUCGAUGCAAUUAACAACAAUUAAGAGUUCAAAUCGAGCAUAUAGAUGCAAAAGGGAACAGUAGACUAAUCUUGAAACAUAUUCAACAGGAGAACAAUUCAAUAUCAACGCACUCAGAUGAAAACUCGAUCAUAUUAUACCAAAAAAUCAAACGAACACAGAGUGACCCAAAACAAUAUCAAUCUCAAUGCACUCAGAUGAAAACUCGAUCAUAUUAUACCAAAAAAUCAAACGAACACAGAGCGACCCAGAACAAUAAUGAUAAAACAAACUAGGAAAAGAGAAGAACCUUUGUAUUAAUGAAUCAAUCACAAAAUCGAGAUGACAGGCGAAAUAGUUGAACAACGACCGAAAAACCACUAAAGGCUACCUCGACGAACUUGACGGAUGGAGCUCAGCAAAAUUUCAGCCACAUCCAACAACUCUAACUGACAGAAAAUCACACGAAGUUCCAGAAAAAAAUUGAAGCAAAGGAGUGGAAAUUUGAAUAGCCUUCAAACACUUUAUUUUUCUGUUUUUCGCUCAUUUUUCCUUUUGAAUCUCACCAUUUCUCUUAUAUGUGUUUUCUUUUAAUUUGAUGAAAAGAUGGCUACAAAGAUGGGGGAAGGGAAAGCGACAAUUUCGGAUUUUUUUGAAAGGCUCUCACAACUGGUUUGUUGAAAAGAAUGUGACGAAGGGAGAAGAAAAUUCAUAUCCAAAAAUGGGGACCCCCUUUAUUUUGUUUUGGCAAAUGGUUUUACAGAGUGUAUGGGGUGAGGUGUUAUGUGGGGGAGUUUUAUCUGAGGGAAGGUGUUAUGUGAGGUAACAUUUUGGGGGAAAGGUUUUAGGUGGGAUAAUAUUUUGGGGAAGAUACUUUGGAGAAGGUUCUUCCCAUUUUGCAUUUCUUUUUA
This 1717-nucleotide long non-coding RNA is filed under the name Nicotiana benthamiana. RNAcentral describes it as "long non-coding RNA (NBEN_LNC040238)". Lineage: Eukaryota; Viridiplantae; Streptophyta; Magnoliopsida; Solanales; Solanaceae. The record is from RNAcentral.